Molecule: ribosomal RNA, 833 nt
Filed under: uncultured bacterium
Lineage: Bacteria
Description: bacterial SSU rRNA
Rfam family: Bacterial small subunit ribosomal RNA
Source: RNAcentral
CAUGCAAUUGGAGCCACGAACCGGGGCUUGCCCUGGGGCAGAGCCGCUAACGGGUGAGUAACACGUGGGUAACCUACCUCGAUGACCGGGACAACCCGAGGAAACUCGGGCUAAUACCGGAUGUGCUCCGUCCUCUCAAGGGGACUGAGUAAAGAUAGCUUUGGCCUUCGCAUCGAGACGGGCCCGCGGCCCAUUAGCUUGUUGGUGAGGUAACGGCUCACCAAGGCUGCGAUGGGUAGCUGGUCUGAGAGGACGAUCAGCCACACUGGGACUGAGACACAGCCCAGACUCCUACGGGAGGCAGCUUUGGGGAAUCUUGCGCAAUGCGCGAAAGCGUGACGCAUCAACGCCGCGUGGGGGAAGAAGGCCUUCGGGUUGUAAACCCCUUUCAGUUGGGACGAAGCUUCCAGGGUUAAUAUCUCUCUGGAGUGACGGUACCUUCACAAGAAGCCCCGGCUAACUACUUGCCACCAGCCGCGGUAAUACGAAGGGCGCUAGCGGUGUCCGGAAUCAUUGUGCGUAAAGCGCGUGUAGGCUGUCCGGUAACUCCGCUGUGAAAGUCGGGAGCUCCACCCUCGAAUGCCUGUGGAUACUGUCCGGCUUGAGUACUGAAGAUGCCAGUGGAAUUCCUGGUGUAGCGGUGAUAUGCGCAGAUAUCAGGAGGAACACCUAUUGCGAACGCAGCUCGCUGGGACGUUACUGACGCUGACACGCUAAAACGUGGGGAGCAAACAGGAUUAGAUACCCUGGUAGUCCACGCUGUCACGAUGGGCACUACGUGUGGGAUGUGUCGACUCCCUCCGUGCCAAGCUAACGCAUUAGUGCCCCGGCUG